RNAcentral lists this transfer RNA (67 nucleotides) under Psephenothrips eriobotryae. RNAcentral describes it as "tRNA-Tyr". Lineage: Eukaryota; Metazoa; Arthropoda; Insecta; Thysanoptera; Phlaeothripidae. The record is from RNAcentral.
AAUAAAGUGUCUGAUUAGGUGUUAAAUUGUAAUUUUAAUUAUGAGAACUAAUAUUUCUCCUUUAUUU